UUUCUCUCUCCUCUGUUUCUGUCUCUCUUUUCUGUCUCUCUCUCUCUCUCUCUCUCUCUCUCUCUCUCUCUCUCUCUCUCUCUCUCUCUCUCUCUCUCUCUCUCUCUCUCUGUCUCUCUGUCUCUGUCUCUGUCUCUCUCUCUCUCUCUGUCUCUCUGUCUGUCUCUGUAUCUCUCUCUGUCUCUCUCUGUCUCUGUCUCUCUCUGUCUCUGUCUGUCUCUCUGUCUGUCACAGACACACACACAGUCUCUGACACUCUCUCUGUCAGACUCUGU
RNAcentral lists this long non-coding RNA (275 nucleotides) under Monodelphis domestica (gray short-tailed opossum). RNAcentral's name for it is "lncRNA (ENSMODG00000037141.1)". The record is from RNAcentral. Lineage: Eukaryota; Metazoa; Chordata; Mammalia; Didelphimorphia; Didelphidae.